Molecule: ribosomal RNA, 252 nt
Filed under: uncultured bacterium
Lineage: Bacteria
Description: partial 16S ribosomal RNA
Rfam family: Bacterial small subunit ribosomal RNA
Source: RNAcentral
UACGUAGGUCCCGAGCGUUGUCCGGAUUUAUUGGGCGUAAAGCGAGCGCAGGUGGUUUAUUAAGUCUGGUGUAAAAGGCAGUGGCUCAACCAUUGUAUGCAUUGGAAACUGGUAGACUUGAGUGCAGGAGAGGAGAGUGGAAUUCUAUGUGUAGCGGUGAAAUGCGUAGAUAUAUGGAGGAACACCGGUGGCGAAAGCGGCUUUCUGGCCUGUAACUGACACUGAGGCUCGAAAGCGUGGGGAGCAAACAGG